Molecule: unclassified non-coding RNA, 433 nt
Filed under: soil metagenome
Description: partial contains 5.8S ribosomal RNA, internal transcribed spacer 2, and large subunit ribosomal RNA
Rfam family: 5.8S ribosomal RNA (bases 1-120)
Source: RNAcentral
GAUGAAGAACGUAGCGAAAUGCGAUACGUAAUGUGAAUUGCAGAAUUCAGUGAAUCAUCGAAUCUUUGAACGCAUAUUGCGCUCUCUGCUAUUCCGGAGAGCAUGCUUGUUUGAGUAUCAGUAAACACCUCAACUUCCAUAUCUUUUUUGAAAUGGGAGUUGGACUUGAGUGAUCCCAACGCUUUUCCUCACCGAAAAGUGGCGGGUUACUUGAAAUGCAGGUGCAGCUGGACUUUUCUCUGAGCUAUAAGCAUAUCUAUUUAGUCUGCCUAAAAAACAGAUUAUUACCUUUGCUGCAGCUAACAUAAAGGAGAUUAGUUCUUGUGCUGACUGAUGCAGGAUUCACAAAGACAGGCUUCGGCCGACUUUGUAAACUCGAUCUCAAAUCAAGUAAGACUACCCGCUGAACUUAAGCAUAUCAAUAAGCGGAGGA